This 164-nucleotide ribosomal RNA is filed under the name uncultured bacterium. RNAcentral's name for it is "partial 16S rRNA". It matches the Rfam family "Bacterial small subunit ribosomal RNA", at positions 355 to 511 of the family's 1533-position model. The record is from RNAcentral.
UAGGGAAUCUUCCACAAUGGACGCAAGCCUGAUGGAGCAACGCCGCGUGAGUGAAGAAGGGUUUCGGCUCGUAAAGCUCUGUUGUUAAAGAAGAACGUGGGUAAGAGUAACUGUUUACCCAGUGACGGUAUUUAACCAGAAAGCCACGGCUAACUACGUGCCCG